GCAACAGCAGAAUUGCCCAUUCCCAUUGUCACUGACAAGCCGAUGUCUUCCUCUGUUUGAACGGGAUGUCUACAGAAGGCACAGUGUCAACCAACCACUCUAGCCAAAAUAAAUAAAUCUGGGAGCUAAAAGAUUACUUCUGCCUGGACAAGGCUGCCUAGCAAUCAAAAUAACCAGCAGAAAACACCUCUUAAUGGAGAAGAAUGAGACUGGGCUGGCUGCACAUGCCAAGAGGCUGGCUGCAUCCCCUACAAUAUCCAGAACUCUCAUCAAUCCUCUUUCCAUGCCUCAAACGGUAAUCUACACUCCAACCUUCCCUUGUAAACACAUCAGUACCCACUGAAGUGUGGUACCCCAGAAGACUUUCUGUUAAGCUGUCAGCACGAUUCUACCGAUAACACGGUAUGGCAUUUUAGCAUUAUUGGAUACACCCAUUUAUCUUUGAUUAGAGCUCUAUUAAAAGACUCUUGUAAAAAGCAAAAUGUCAAAACCAAGAACAAAAGUGAAUUAAUGCUCCUACCAUACAUUAAAAGCACAUGUCAUCUAAUCCUCACAGUUGUUUUUUGUCCCUGCUUUUAAACAUGCAAUGAGUGCUCUGAGACCAUAAAAUGGCACAUUUUACUUCAAAGGUAAAAGGGAUGAAUUUCCAAAUGUGAUACAAAUCCUGGAUUGGAUUAAUGAGGCUGACGGCUUCACCAAAGAACCAGCCUAUGUCCAUUCUGAUGACAGCUCCUGUGCCUGUGCUCCAAGUUUACAGGGGAAGAAAAACUGCAGAGCAGAGAAGGAGAACUCGUGGCUUUCUCUUCGUUGGCAGAGUUAUGAAUAGGAAAACUACUUCAAUGCAUGUAAAAUAAAACUAGCUUUCAUUAUAAACCAACCAAAUGGUUUAUUUUCAGUAUCAAAUAACAUAGAAAUUAGAUCCCCAAAAAUCCCAUUAGGUCAU
Molecule: long non-coding RNA, 943 nt
Filed under: Homo sapiens (human)
Lineage: Eukaryota; Metazoa; Chordata; Mammalia; Primates; Hominidae
Description: HSALNT0001830
Source: RNAcentral